Molecule: ribosomal RNA, 420 nt
Filed under: uncultured Nitrososphaerota archaeon
Lineage: Archaea; Thermoproteati; Nitrososphaerota
Description: bacterial SSU rRNA
Rfam family: Archaeal small subunit ribosomal RNA
Source: RNAcentral
CAGCCGCCGCGGUAAAACCAGCACCUCAAGUGGUCAGGAUGAUUAUUGGGCCUAAAGCAUCCGUAGCCGGCUCUGUAAGUUUUCGGUUAAAUCUGUACGCUCAACGUACAGGCUGCCGGGAAUACUGCAGAGCUAGGGAGUGGGAGAAGUAGACGGUACUCGGUAGGAAGUGGUAAAAUCCUUUGAUCUAUUGAUGACCACCUGUGGCGAAGGCGGUCUACCAGAACACGUCCGACGGUGAGGGAUGAAAGCUGGGGGAGCAAACCGGAUUAGAUACCCGGGUCGUCCCAGCUGUAAACUAUGCAAACUCAGUGAUGCAUUGGCUUGUGGCCAAUGCAGUGCUGCAGGGAAGCCGUUAAGUUUGCCGCCUGGGAAGUACGUACGCAAGUAUGAAACUUAAAGGAAUUGGCGGGGGAGCAC